CUACGGAGGGUCCGAGCGUUAUCCGGAAUCAUUGGGUUUAAAGGGUCCGUAGGCGGGCGAUUAAGUCAGAGGUGAAGUCCCACAGCUCAACUGUGGAACUGCCUUUGAUACUGGUUGUCUUGAGUUACAGUGAAGUAGAUAGAAUGUGUAGUGUAGCGGUGAAAUGCAUAGAUAUUACACAGAAUACCGAUUGCGAAGGCAGUCUACUAACUGUAUACUGACGCUAAUGGACGAAAGCGUGGGGAGCGAACAGGAUUAGAAACCCCGGUAGUCC
RNAcentral lists this ribosomal RNA (274 nucleotides) under uncultured bacterium. RNAcentral describes it as "partial 16S ribosomal RNA". It matches the Rfam family "Bacterial small subunit ribosomal RNA", at positions 523 to 796 of the family's 1533-position model. The record is from RNAcentral.